Ipomoea triloba (trilobed morning glory) is the source of this 843-nucleotide long non-coding RNA. RefSeq lists it as uncharacterized. The record is from RefSeq and is a predicted model, not a curated record. The transcript has 3 exons. NCBI's taxonomy places the organism in Eukaryota, Viridiplantae, Streptophyta, Magnoliopsida, Solanales, Convolvulaceae.
CUCUUCUUCCUUUUCUCCUCUAGAUUUCCAUUCAACUCUUAGCUUAUAAGAUUUGGUUGUAACCUUGAUGUGGGUUUGUUGUGGUUUGAUGAUUUUAUUGAGAAUUUGGGUUGGGAGAGGGAGGAAAAUAAAUUGCAGAGGCUAUUGGUUGGAGUGAAGAUUAUGAGUGAUUUUUGAAGGUUUAAGCUUGAGGUUAUACCAUAACCAAAGCUCGGGUACAAGUUCUACGCCACGCUCUCACUAGCCACAAGUCCAAGUCCUGAAAACAAUUAAGGUUUGGGAAAACAAGAGGUAAAAGGAUUAGCACAAAAAUGCUAAGUAAGCUCUACCCCGCCCUGUAAAAUUCCACAAACCACCACCAUCGCCGUCGACCCACCUGCUGCUCGCCGAAAAAAAGGGAGAUGGAAACCUAGGUUCACUGCUGCUGUUCGUUGUUGCUGUUGAAGGAGGAGGACACCGACGUGGGCGGUCGCCCACCACCGCCGCUGGAGGCCGCUGCCGGCCGCCGGAGACGCCACUGCUACCGUCACCUGGGGUCGCCGCCGGAGCUUCGUCGAUCUGCUGUGUUCGUCGAUCUGCAGUCCACCGAGAGAGAGAAAAUCGCGUAGAGAGGGAGGCGAAAUUAAAGGGCGUUUUGAAGAUGAAUAACUCUCUUGAAAGCAAUGUACAUAAGUUUAUAUAUCUACUUAGGUUUUGUCUUGGGCUUAAAACAAUUGGGCUUGCAUAAAUUGGACUCAAGAACUAUUUAGAUUUAAGAGAUUAAAUCAUUUGGACUUAGGUUUAUAUUGGGUUUAAACUUAGGCUCAAAACAAUGAUAUAAAGAUCACAGGUUUGUCUCAGAUA